GACGAACGCUGGCGGCGCGCUUAACACAUGCAAGUCGAGCGAGAACCAGACCUUCGGGUCUGGGGACAGCGGCGAACGGGUGAGUAACACGUGGGUAAUCAACCCUCAGUACUGGGAUAGCCCGGGGAAACCCGGAUUAAUACCGGACGGCCCUUCGGAUCUUCGGUUCUGAAGGAAAAGGUAGCUUCGGCCUCCGACCGAGGACGAGCCCGCGGCGGAUUAGCUGUGUGGUGGGGUAACGGCCUACCAAGGCGGCGAUCCGGAGCUGGUCUGAGAGGACGAUCAGCCACACUGGGACUGAGACACGGCCCAGACUUCUACGGAAGGAAGCAGUGGGGAAUCUUGCGCUAAUGCGGGAAACCGUGACGCAGCGACGCCGCGUGAGGGAAGAAGGCCUUCGGGUUGUAAACCUCUUUCAGGAGGGACGAAGCUACUCGGGUUAAUAGCCCAGAGGGUGACGGUACCUUCAGAAGAAGCCCCGGCUAACUACGUGCCAGCAGCCGCCGUAA
Molecule: ribosomal RNA, 509 nt
Filed under: uncultured bacterium
Lineage: Bacteria
Description: partial 16S ribosomal RNA
Rfam family: Bacterial small subunit ribosomal RNA
Source: RNAcentral